UGGGCAACCUGCCCCAGACACAGGGAUAACCCCGGGAAACCGGGGCUAAUACCGGAUACUCCGGUCGAACCGCAUGGCUCGAUCGGGAAAGCUCCGACGGUCUGGGAUGGGCCCGCGGCCUAUCAGCUCGUUGGUGGGGUAACGGCCUACCAAGGCGACGACGGGUAGCUGGUCUGAGAGGACGACCAGCCACACUGGGACUGAGACACGGCCCAGACUCCUACGGGAG
This 229-nucleotide ribosomal RNA is filed under the name uncultured bacterium. RNAcentral's name for it is "partial 16S ribosomal RNA". It matches the Rfam family "Bacterial small subunit ribosomal RNA", at positions 118 to 347 of the family's 1533-position model. The record is from RNAcentral.